AAUUGUCAACCAAUACUGGUUGGAGUUUGGGGGUUGCUGGUAGUCAGCUCUCCUGAAAUUGAUUAAUGCAUGGCCUUUGAUGUGAUAAUGAUCGUCAUGGGCUGGCAUGUCUAGCUAAGCUUUAGUUAUUAGUCUCUGACGAACACAAAGCUAUCGAUC
This 159-nucleotide unclassified non-coding RNA is filed under the name uncultured Boletales. RNAcentral describes it as "sequence contains ITS2". The record is from RNAcentral. Lineage: Eukaryota; Fungi; Basidiomycota; Agaricomycetes; Boletales.